UACGGGGGGGGCAAGCGUUGUUCGGAAUUACUGGGCGUAAAGGGCUCGUAGGCGGCCAACUAAGUCAGACGUGAAAUCCCUCGGCUUAACCGGGGAACUGCGUCUGAUACUGGAUGGCUUGAGUUCGGGAGAGGGAUGCGGAAUUCCAGGUGUAGCGGUGAAAUGCGUAGAUAUCUGGAGGAACACCUGAGGCGAAGGCGGCUGUCUGGCGGUGUAUCGACGCUGAGGCGCGAAAGCGUGGGGAGCAAACAGG
This 253-nucleotide ribosomal RNA is filed under the name uncultured bacterium. Its description in RNAcentral is "partial 16S ribosomal RNA". It matches the Rfam family "Bacterial small subunit ribosomal RNA", at positions 524 to 776 of the family's 1533-position model. The record is from RNAcentral.